Molecule: unclassified non-coding RNA, 228 nt
Filed under: plant metagenome
Description: partial contains small subunit ribosomal RNA, internal transcribed spacer 1, and 5.8S ribosomal RNA
Rfam family: Eukaryotic small subunit ribosomal RNA (bases 1-49)
Source: RNAcentral
GAAAAGUCGUAACAAGGUUUCCGUAGGUGAACCUGCGGAAGGAUCAUUCAUAAUAAAGUGUUUUAUGGCACUUUUUAAAAAUCCAUAUCCACCUUGUGUGCAAUGUUAGAUCUCGUCAAUCUUGGCGAGAUUUUUAUACAUCAACUCAUUCUUUAACUAAUUUGUCUGAAAAAUAUUAUGAAUACUUAAUUCAAAGUACAACUUUCAACAACGGAUCUCUUGGCUCUC